This is a long non-coding RNA of Mizuhopecten yessoensis (Yesso scallop), 1389 nucleotides long. RefSeq lists it as uncharacterized. The record is from RefSeq and is a predicted model, not a curated record. The transcript is spliced from 2 exons. Lineage: Eukaryota; Metazoa; Mollusca; Bivalvia; Pectinida; Pectinidae.
UCUACGAUAGUGAAAAGUAAAUCUACGAAAAGGGUUUUUGAUUUUUGUUUCUCUUUGACCAAUGUCACACGAGAAGUAUUUUGUGAAAACUGACAUGUUAUCUGUUGUCUAUUACACCUCUAUUUAUGUUAGUCAACACAUGAUCACCCUUGUAAGCGCGCCGCUCUGCCUUUAUGACGCAUAACAACCGACAUGUGGAAUCGAUUCAGCAGGGUGGGCUAAGCUCCAGCCCUUGCCAAUCCCCCUCUUCAGCAGGCUCGUCAGUGUUCCCGUACACUUCGACACGAUAACGUCAACGUCUCGUUUAUCCUAGGUCGUUCUCGGAUACUGGUGACAUCUAGGACUUGCAGAUUCUCGCCGUUACUAUGGCAGUUUCAGCGGCGUCGGCCGGAGGCUGUUCUGCGGCUCGAAGGCAUGAUUAUGACUAUAGGAACGACGACAGCAUUCGACUUCCACGGUUCAAGAAAACACCGAAACAGGGUAAAAGCACAAACACCAAAACACCCAAGCCGACCUCAGUGAGCAGCUCCCCGAAGAAAGACGACGGGACGCAACCACCAAGUGCCAAGUGCAAUGUCUUGUAGCGGGUGCAUUCAUGUUCGACAUGGCGGGCACUUAUGACGUCACAUUUCCACGGAUUAUAACACUGGUGUGACACUGAAGAAAAGGCCAGGGGUCAUCCGUGAAAGGUCAUCAGGAAAACAACCUUCCAGGACAAUUCGUAUCUUAUUCAUUGAUAACCGACUACAUGCAUUGUGUAGUUUAACUUAAUUUCUCUCACUGGUUCUUGCUCAUCGAUAUUUGAGAAUAACGUAGUUCAGCUAAUUUCUUUCAUUGAUAUAUAUGACAAUCCAGCAUCAGUAUAUAUCUGCUUCUGGAAAAGUCUUCCAUCCAUACCACUUUGUUGACAAUAUAGUACGGAAGACUAUUUAGUAUUAACAGUAUUGCAUAUUGCAUAGUUUACAAACCGGAAGUAGAUGCCUGUAAUUCAUUGAUACCUAACAAUACCUUAAGAAGACUGGCUUACUUUGGCUCCGAUAUAUAUAUCGGAUUUAGACAUUUUGACAGAUUGAUAUUAAUCGGAAUAUCACUUGUGCUGAUUAAACCAAUCGAAACACUGAUUACAAACUACCACGAGAACAAUUGCAAGUGGCCCAUAUGGUCAAAGCCUGGCCAGCCUUACGAUGCGCAGGCCUCGAAAGAAUCUGUCUGAUAUAUCGGCCCAUUUUUCUGCCCACAAUUAUCAUAUCUGUUGCCUAUCAUAGGGGAACUAUCUGUCAAAAUGUCAAAAAUCUGGUGCUUGGUCCAGAGAAAUUAGAAUUAACAUUACCGUAGUCAGACUUAAUUGAUAUCUGCAGCUGAGGAAAUAUAAUAAUAUUAUUUCGUUAC